GCUAUUUUGGCAGAUUAAUGUGCUGGGCUUAGGACUCAUCUAUGUAAUUAUAUUACAAGUAGUA
This 64-nucleotide transfer RNA is filed under the name Saussurella borneensis. Its description in RNAcentral is "tRNA-Leu". The record is from RNAcentral. Lineage: Eukaryota; Metazoa; Arthropoda; Insecta; Orthoptera; Tetrigidae.